GUAAUGGGCGCACCUGAUCUAGCCAUGCCGCGUGAGUGAUGAAGGCCUUAGGGUCGUAAAGCUCUUUCGCCUGUGAUGAUAAUGACAGUAGCAGGUAAAGAAACCCCGGCUAACUCCGUGCCAGCAGCCGCGGUAAUACGGAGGGGGUUAGCGUUGUUCGGAAUUACUGGGCGUAAAGCGCGCGUAGGCGGAUUAGAAAGUUGGGGGUGAAAUCCCGGGGCUCAACCUCGGAACUGCCUCCAAAACUGCUAGUCUAGAGUUCGAGAGAGGUGAGUGGAAUUCCGAGUGUAGAGGUGAAAUUCGUAGAUAUUCGGAGGAACACCAGUGGCGAAGGCGGCUCACUGGCUCGAUACUGACGCUGAGGUGCGAAAGUGUGGGGAGCAAACAGGAUUAGAUACCCUGGUAGUCCACACCGUAAACGAUGAAUGCCAGUCGUCGGGUAGUAUACUAUUCGGUGACACACCUAACGGAUUAAGCAUUCCGCCUGGGGAGUACGGUCGCAAGAUUAAAACUCAAAGGAAUUGACGG
This 528-nucleotide ribosomal RNA is filed under the name uncultured bacterium. Its description in RNAcentral is "bacterial SSU rRNA". It matches the Rfam family "Bacterial small subunit ribosomal RNA", at positions 368 to 916 of the family's 1533-position model. The record is from RNAcentral.